AAGUCGUAACAAGGUUUCCGUAGGUGAACCUGCGGAAGGAUCAUUAUCGUGGGGCUUCGGCCCUCUCGAGAUAGAACCCUUGCCUUUUUGAGUACCUUUCGUUUCCUCGGCGGGCUCGCCCGCCAAUGGGGACCACAAUAAACCCUUUGUAAUACCUGUAAUCGUCUGACAAAACAAGCAAAAAUUAAAACUUUCAACAACGGAUCUCUUGGUUCUG
RNAcentral lists this unclassified non-coding RNA (217 nucleotides) under Preussia flanaganii. Its description in RNAcentral is "partial internal transcribed spacer region". The stretch from base 1 to 46 matches the Rfam family "Eukaryotic small subunit ribosomal RNA", at positions 1786 to 1831 of the family's 1831-position model. RNAcentral also lists the same sequence under 2 other names. Lineage: Eukaryota; Fungi; Ascomycota; Dothideomycetes; Pleosporales; Sporormiaceae. The record is from RNAcentral.